RNAcentral lists this ribosomal RNA (445 nucleotides) under uncultured bacterium. RNAcentral describes it as "bacterial SSU rRNA". It matches the Rfam family "Bacterial small subunit ribosomal RNA", at positions 354 to 796 of the family's 1533-position model. The record is from RNAcentral.
GUAAGGAAUAUUGGUCAAUGGACGAAAGUCUGAACCAGCUAUGCCGCGUGGAGGAUGAAGGCCCUCUGGGUUGUAAACUUCUUUUAUAUGGGACGAAAAAAGGCUUUUCUAAGUCGUCUGACGGUACCAUUUGAAUAAGCACCGGCUAACUCCGUGCCAGCAGCCGCGGUAAUACGGAGGGUGCAAGCGUUAUCCGGAUUCACUGGGUUUAAAGGGUGCGUAGGUGGGUUGGUAAGUCAGUGGUGAAAUCUCCGAGCUUAACUUGGAAACUGCCAUUGAUACUAUCAGUCUUGAAUAUUGUGGAGGUUAGCGGAAUAUGUCAUGUAGCGGUGAAAUGCUUAGAUAUGACAUAGAACACCAAUUGCGAAGGCAGCUGGCUACACAUAUAUUGACACUGAGGCACGAAAGCGUGGGGAUCAAACAGGAUUAGAAACCCGAGUAGUCC